UACGGAGGGCGCAAGCGUUGUUCGGAAUCACUGGGCGUACAGCGCGUGUAGGCGGCUUGGCAAGUCGGGUGUGAAAUCCCGAGACUCAACCUCGGAACUGCACUCGAAACUGCCUGGCUCGAGUCCCGGAGAGGGGGGCGGAAUUCCCGGUGUAGGGGUGAAAUCCGUAGAUAUCGGGAGGAACACCAGUGGCGAAGGCGGCCACCUGGACGGUGACUGACGCUGAGACGCGAAAGCGUGGGGAGCAAACAGG
Molecule: ribosomal RNA, 253 nt
Filed under: uncultured bacterium
Lineage: Bacteria
Description: partial 16S ribosomal RNA
Rfam family: Bacterial small subunit ribosomal RNA
Source: RNAcentral